CGAAUAGGGAGAAUAGCCCGGACGGAGAUCACAGAAACGUCCCACGACAACUCUGCAGCUUCAAUCCGAUCCGACUCCCCGUCACAAGGCUGCACACUGUGCAAACAGUGACACAAGGUAUGGCCAUAGACAGGAAGGAAGCGGGGGAUUGGACAGAACAAUGCCCAUACGUGCUCCAGAAGAAGAAGAAGGCACCCAUGAAAAAGAAGAAGAGGGGGAAAAAAACUAGUUCAAUGCAAACACAGCUGAAAGAGAGCUGGCCGUGUCCACAUGUCCUCCCUAUAUAGACUGAUUAAACUGAUGGAGAGAGCGGGUUUGGCCGAGCACACAAUUGGCUGGGAAUCAUCCAAAGUUUGUCUUGCAAAACAAGUCAAAUGCGCAAAAGUAAACUUGCAGGAAAGGGCACAAGGAAUGUAGCAUGCAUAUACUUUUGAUUUGACAAAAGUGUAGCAUACAGUACGCAUAUACUUUUGAUUUUUAAAAAUAAUGUAUUUAAUUCCGUAUCAAUGUUGUUUAUUAAGAAGGACAGUGCCAGUUUUACAGCACUGGAUUUGUUGAGCUGAAAUGGUUUAUGAUUCUUUAGAUGUAAAUAGAUCGUACAUCCAUACUUGAAUGAAGAAUAUUAUAUUUUCAUUGUUUACUGAAAUAUUUCAUAAUGAGCCCUGUGUGUAGUUGCGUGCCAGAUUUCCAAGCCUUGGCUCAUGUUUAUUGGUAAAGAGAGAGAGAGAGCUACAGUACUCCAUGCCAAUAACCUCGGGCAUAUUUUUUUAAACAUGCACAGAACAAGGUCUCCUCUAGGGGGCAGUGUUAUUGUUCACACCGGUCCUGAAGUCUGUUCCAACUGCAUGGACUUCAACCCUGUGUUGCACCUAGCCGUUGAAGUCAGAUUUAUUUAAAUUUUGUGGAAAUGCUUAACUUCAAGAUUAUUAUUUUUGUGAUAAAAUGCAAAUGCAUAAAACAGGAUAAAAAUGUAAUGUUUCAUAAAUCAUUAAAGAGACGCUAAAUAAACAGCUGAUUUGCAGCAAUGUCAACAGA
Molecule: long non-coding RNA, 1035 nt
Organism: Engraulis encrasicolus (European anchovy)
Lineage: Eukaryota; Metazoa; Chordata; Actinopteri; Clupeiformes; Engraulidae
Exons: 2
Source: RefSeq, a predicted model, not a curated record